GCUUGCUUUGGCCACACAUAUACUAAAAUUGGAACAAUGCAGAGAAGAUUAGCAUGACUCCUGCAUAGAGAGUCAUGCUAAUUAGAAUGCCAUGCAAAUUCCU
Small nuclear RNA from Nyctereutes procyonoides (raccoon dog), 103 nucleotides. NCBI's taxonomy places the organism in Eukaryota, Metazoa, Chordata, Mammalia, Carnivora, Canidae. The record is from RefSeq and is a predicted model, not a curated record.